UAACGAGCGAGACUCUGGCCUACUAAAUAGUUGACGCGUUACCACUGUGCGCACAACUUCUUAGAGGGAUUUUCGGUGUUUUCAACCGCACGAAAUUGAGCAAUAACAGGUCUGUGAUGCCCUUAGAUGUCCGGGGCUGCACGCGCGCUACACUGGCAAACGCAACGUGCCUGUCCUGCCCCGAAAGGAGCGGGUAAACCCCUGAAAUUUUGCCGUGAUUGGGAUCGGACAUUGCAACUAUUGUCCGUGAACGAGGAAUUCCUUGUAGGGGCGAGUCAUCAACUCGUCCCGAAUACGUCCCUGCCCUUUGUACACACCGCCCGUCGCUGCCCGGGACUGAGCCAUUUCAAGAAAACCGGGGAUUGAUGGCCUAACGGCUCCAUACGGGGCCCGCUGGCCGUUAAAAACCGGCUUAAUUGCAAUGGUUUGAACCGGGCAAAAGUCGUAACAAGGUAGCUGUAGGUGAACCUGCUGCUGGAUCAUUA
This 485-nucleotide ribosomal RNA is filed under the name Rotylenchulus reniformis. RNAcentral describes it as "SSU rRNA". It matches the Rfam family "Eukaryotic small subunit ribosomal RNA", at positions 1329 to 1831 of the family's 1831-position model. The record is from RNAcentral. Lineage: Eukaryota; Metazoa; Nematoda; Chromadorea; Rhabditida; Hoplolaimidae.